GGCACAAAGGAAGUCGGCCAUACUGGGAAGGUCACUCAAAGAAGGACCAGUGCACAAGUCGGCAGCCAUGCGGAGAAGGGCAACAUAAGCGGAUCGUCCCCGUAAGACGAGCAUAGAGUGGCGGUGCUUUUCCUGCCCUUCUGAACUGCGGGGCUUCGCUUCUCGGCCUCCGCCAUUCUGGGUAAAAGCGGAGGAAGGGGGGGGAUAUGAGAAUUGUCACUGGGUUGCCCUCCCUGAUUUGCUUUUCCCCCUAAACAAUAAAACAUCAUUGUCCGUAAAAAGCAUUUUUACCUUUCCCCACCCCCCCUAUACUUCGGUAAAUCGUUCCUUUUCCCGUUGGCUAUUUGCUUGCUGAUGGACCGUCUUCCUCACUUGGAUAACCUCCACUUACAACCGUUCCUUUAGUGACUGCUUAGUUACGACUGCGCUAAAGAAAGUGACCUAGACUUUUUCACAGACUGCUGUGGCAUCCCCACAGUCAGGUGAUAGAAAUUGGGAUGCUUGGUGCCUGGUGUGCUCGUGGAAUCCCCUUUUGGGUCUUGCCUACCGAGAAAAAAAAUGGGACUCUGUUGUCAUAAGUCGAGACUACCUGUAGGUUAGACAUGGAACUGGGUGGUGCUUUUUGAAGGUCUUAGAAAGAAAACAAUUUAUGUAAACGUGGGCAGUUGGCCAAGUCCCAGGCUCUACUGCUUUCCUAGGGAUGCAAAGAAUUAAUACCUCAUCUAUUAUCGGUAACUAUGCAGCCGUUAUUUUCCCCUUUCUAAAUCUAUAAAUAACUGUCUGUCUCUUUUGCUUGUGGGCUUCCCUUCCACACAUACUGGUUCCGUAAUAAACGCUGCGGAAAACCUGACGGAGCAGGAGAGUCGGUCUCUACAUCAGCUCAAAUUAAAAAGGAAAAGUGGGACGGGUGAGGUGCAGCUCUUCAAAAUGCUUCCUGCUGAAAAACGGACAUCCCGAUUACCGGGAACCUGGCAUUGUCUCAAAACCCAGGCCCCUGAACAUGCGUGGAACCAAAGUCCUAUUCCUCAAAUUUGGGAGAGAAAACGUACACCUUUACCUUUGUGAAAGGGGCUUCCCGGUCUCCUGAAAAUACAAAUUGCUAAGAAAUUCAGGCAGAGCUAAAAGUGUUCAUCAAGGGCGGGUUGAGUCUUUUUAUAGUGUAAAGAAACAACUGAUACGUACAUUGGGUAUGUGCGUCAAUAAGGAAAGGAUCAAACGAUAUGGGUUGCCUGUGAAGUUUAUUCGACAAAGUAUUCCUUCUCAAUAACUUGGUUAAGCUACUCUCUACCGCUUAGGUCUGCAUCUUUCUUGAAAUGUGCGAGUACUUUCGUGAUAUGCUUUCUAUUGUAUACUUGCAUAAAAGGCAAGUCCUCGUAUACCGAUUUUUUUAAAACAAACUGGUCCAGAUUUUUACUUUUUGAAGAAAUGACCUAGGACUUUCAUUAUAGCAUUGAAGCUAUUGUACACCUUUUAAACUUGGUUUAAGUCUUUUGAAACUGGAUUCCUUCUUCUGUGUCUGUGUUACAGCCCGUGAUACUCUUGCUGCAUUAUUGUUAAUAAGCAUUAAUAACAAAGAUACAGAAUAAUAAACUUAAAAUCCCAUUAAAAAGGAAUUUUGGUGGCUGCUAUUCCUUUUUGGACCAUAGGAUGGCGCUGUUUUCCGUUCCCCGUGGUCUGCAGAAUAGGUACACAAGAACCACGUUGUCAGCCUCCGCCUUUACUGCUUUGGCUGCCAUAGUAACAGGAGGGGGGAGAGCUGGGUAGCAUGGGGGGGAGCGUGCUGGAGGAAUUGAAAGCGAUAGUUAAGCCAUAGGACUGUAUCUUUGAAGCUGCCGUCAGGUCAACGGUCGUGGCAUUCCUGAUUGAUGACGCUGCCAGAUGUGUGCUUCCACCUGACCCCUGGAUUGGAUGAUUUACGGUGGACAGUGGGAGGGGAUGCUUUCUAUAUGCAAUUUUCACGCUUAUUGCCUUAGAUUCUGCUUUCCUUUGGUUGCGUUCACUGCAUUUUCUAGUAAAAGUACCUUUCUCUAUAAACAAUGGAGUUUGGGUCAUUCUUUCCUGGACUUUGAAGGAAGCACACCUGACAUUAAGCAGAAUCUCUUCUCCAGCCAUCCUGGAUAAACACCGAGGGGGCUGAACCCAAAAUAUGUCUGACCAAGAGAGUGAAGGAGACCAGAGGGGAGCUUCUGGCUCUACUAUAACUUCACUUCAAGCAGAGAAGGAAGCUGCAGAAUGGAUGGAAAAAAGUCGGCUGAGAGAGGAGCCAGAGGAAGCUAGAUGGUUGAGGGGAGUAGGAAAGUUGCCGGACCUGGGGAGGACCCCCCAAGGAGUAACCAGCUCCAGACCUCGUAUGGGAGAGGCGGUGUGGCUGCAAGAGCAAAAGGAGAGCCUCAUGAUUGCUCAGGCGAUGCAACUCCUCCGCGAUGCCGAGGAAAGCCGGAAAAACCAUUGAGAGCAAAGUCUAAAGUCCAGCUGAAAUGCUUACGGGAUCUCCUCUUCGCUGAUGAUGCUGCCGUCACUGCUCACUCUGCUGAAGACCUUUAACAACUUAUGGACGGUUUUAGCAAGGCCUGCCAAGACUUUGGACUAACAAUCAGCCUGAAAAAAAACACAAGUCAUGGGUCAGGACGUGGAUUCACCUCCCUGUAUUACAAUCUCUGCACAAGAACGGGAGGUCGUCCAUGACUUUGUGUACCUCGGCCCAACUAUCUCUGACACUCUCUCUUUAGAUACUGAGCUGAAUAAACGUAUUGGUAAAGCGGCCACCACAUUUUCCAGACUUACAAAGAGAGUAUGGCUUAAUAAGAAGCUGACUCAACAUACAAAGAUCCAGGUCUAUAGAGCCUGCGUCCUCAGCACACUCUUGUACUGCAGUGAGUCUUGGACCCUCAACGCACGGCAGGAGAGAAAGUUGAACACCUUUCAUAUGCGCUGUCUCCGACAAAUUCUUGGCAUCACCUGGCAGGACAAAGUUCCAAAUAGCGCAGUCUUGGAAUGUGCUGGAAUUUCUAGCAUGUAUACACUAUUGAAACAGCGACCAUGAGAGAGAUGGUACAAUUAAUGGACAGAGUGGCAAGAUCAGAGAGUCAAUGCCCAGUGGUGGCACAGCCAGAACAUUAGAGCCUAGGAAGAUUCUGCAGUAAGCUGGAAGCAAGGAAAAGCAACGGCAACAUCAAAGUCAAGGAAGGGAACAAAACCAUCAGACAGGCGGUAUACUUGAGCCACAAAGAGUGGCAAGAUUAGAGAGUCCAUGCCCAGUAGUGGUACUGCCAGAAUCCAGGCAUCCCAGCACUCGGAAUAUCAAAACCUGAGAAGAUGCUGCUGGUAAGAAGGCGGCAAGGAAAAGCGGUGGCGCCACCAAAGGAAGGGAAACAAAAAUUUCAAAAGGACCGCUUUCCUUAAAUAGUCUUAGGAAAGCAGUGCCAGCUUUCCAUUCAAAGGUCCCCUCAGAUUCCAACACAUAAAAAGAGGAAAGCUAUCUCCCACCCAUCCUCCUUCCUUCCCUGCUAGAGCCAGAUUCUGCCUCCCACCGUGACUCCAGGCUUCACUCUAUUCUAUGCCCUCCUCCCCCAUCUCACUCUAUCGUGGAAAGAAGCAAAUUCUUCACCAGGCGUUUGGAAACUCCCUUUCUCAGGUUCCAUGAUAACAGCAGCAAGAUCUGCAGUGAUCUAGGGCAGCUCUUUCCUUAAUCCCUGAAACACGCGGGUGUAAUUGUCUUCUGAGGAAGACUCCAGCCAAAUGCCUUUUUUUCUCCUUUGAAAACAAAAGUUAUUCUCAACCUUUCAAAUAGAACUCAGGGAACCACAAUGACCUUCUCGCUUCUGCCUCUCCCAGAAGACACCAACUGAUGUGGAGUCCUGUUGGGAAAAGUCUAGUUUUUUAGGGCUUGAGAGGCAGUUAUCUACAUCACUGGUUCAGUGGCGCUCGUUUAGAAAUGUAACAAAACACCAACUCCUUACCUUUAAACUCCAAGCUCUCGUUCUCCCCCCCGCACAAAGAAUAGGAUAGUUAUCUUGGCAGUAACAUGCUCGACUCUUUCUCUUUCCCAAAAGGGAGGCUGAUGUAACGUCUUCUCGGCAGAACUCUACCUGCAUUCAUCAAGCAGACCGGUUCUAGAAAAUGGAAGAAAUGGGUGUUAUACGGGCAGCUUUUUUCACCAAAAGGGGGCAAAAGAAAAGACAAAGUCAAAACAUCUACUGAAGUUGCCCCUAUGUUUGCGGACAUGGCGUCGCAGAACAAAAGCAUCUUCUGAAAGUCCUGUCCUGCUGGGCACAUUCAGAGAGGUGGGUGCCAAGCCACUGAAGGUGUCAAAGGGUGAUAUUAGGACCUUUUCUUCUCUCGGAAGGCUGAGGAUAGCCGGUGGGUGCAAAAUUCAUGGUUGUCUGACAAUUCACGGACCAAGUUGUUGUGGAUUGCACAAGUAGCGUUUACUGGACAGUUCUGUCACUUGACAAUUGUAUGGUGUAUCCUUUUAAUUGAGAGGCAUGGAGAACUUUAGCAGAGUCCAGCUGGUCAACAUCAUUUAAUAGUGCCUUUUGCAUAAAGGUGUUUUUGAUGUAGCUGCUGCUUGGAUAAAUGCACCUUAGUGCUUCCUUCCGUGCAGACCUAGGCCUCCAAGGUCACCCCCGCAAGCUUCAGGAGGAUUGCUCUUUUUCUUGCACUAAAUGAAAACAGAAAUGCAGGCUAAUUUUUCACAAGAAUGUGUGAUGUUUCCCUUGAUUUAUCCACUGUUCUUCAUUUGUACAUUGCACUCUCUAUGCUAUGCCUCAAGACCUACCAAAGUGACUUUUCUCCCUCACCGACAUUUUCGUCGCUUUGCUCAGACUUUCUGCAAGCCACCUGAAUGAUUUUCUCCUUCCUUGCUAAUUAUAUAGAAUUAUUUGUACUUUUCCUUAAUUCCAUGAAGUAUAAAGGUGUGUGGUUGCCAAAUGUGCAACAACAAUUAAUAGCAUGCAAAUAAACAAAACCUGUUAUACCCUGAAA
Pantherophis guttatus is the source of this 4983-nucleotide non-coding RNA. The record is from RefSeq and is a predicted model, not a curated record. NCBI's taxonomy places the organism in Eukaryota, Metazoa, Chordata, Lepidosauria, Squamata, Colubridae.